AUGCAGACCUUACUUCGCAUGCUGAAUUCUUCAUCAACAACGUCAAAGAGACAUGGAACCGUCACUACGAAAACUCAAAGGUCCAGAUCAGACAUUUCCCGAUUGAGUACGUGGCGACUACAAAACAAGGGAACACGACGGACUGUGGCUUUCACAUGUUGGAAUACCUUGCAAAGUGGGAAGGUAGACUUGUUCCCGCUGUCAAUGCUGCAACGGUCGUUGAGCUCUGGAAAUUUUACACAUGGAACUGGUUGA
This 255-nucleotide ribosomal RNA is filed under the name Triticum aestivum (bread wheat). Its description in RNAcentral is "partial small subunit ribosomal RNA". The record is from RNAcentral. Lineage: Eukaryota; Viridiplantae; Streptophyta; Magnoliopsida; Poales; Poaceae.